RNAcentral lists this long non-coding RNA (233 nucleotides) under Salvia miltiorrhiza (redroot sage). RNAcentral describes it as "long non-coding RNA (SMIL_LNC013323)". Lineage: Eukaryota; Viridiplantae; Streptophyta; Magnoliopsida; Lamiales; Lamiaceae. The record is from RNAcentral.
CCCUCAACAUUUUGUGCUACAAAAAUCCGUCUUAAUUCCUAGAAAUUCCAAAAAUCACAAAAUCUCUGCAUCGAUGCACACUCAAUAAUCAAUAACUGAAUCUACGGCUCGAGCAGCGCAUUUCAAAUGCAGUCUUCUUACGAUUAGCAUAGGCCACAUAAGCUAGCCAACAUUUCAACAGAAGUUGAAAACUCACACCAGUUUCAACAGAUUAAAAGAGCGCAAUCAACGGU